AGUAUCGCGCCUCGUAGUGCUUCGCAACGUGUCGCGACUGGACACGCGAUGGAGUGCGUCAGUGCGACGGUGGCCUCGACGUCACGUAACUACUAUUGGAAAAGAGCAAUGGGCGGGCGAUGUUCGCGAGCCAGGCGUCGUGUUGCAGUGCGAGCCUUCGAGAGGGGACUUGCGAGCGUGUACCAAGACUUUCGUAGAAGUUUCCGUGUACGCGGACUGUUGGGGCUUGUACCACG
This 236-nucleotide unclassified non-coding RNA is filed under the name Melitaea cinxia (Glanville fritillary). RNAcentral describes it as "misc RNA ENSMCXG00005021118.1". Lineage: Eukaryota; Metazoa; Arthropoda; Insecta; Lepidoptera; Nymphalidae. The record is from RNAcentral.